This 253-nucleotide ribosomal RNA is filed under the name uncultured bacterium. Its description in RNAcentral is "partial 16S ribosomal RNA". It matches the Rfam family "Bacterial small subunit ribosomal RNA", at positions 524 to 776 of the family's 1533-position model. The record is from RNAcentral.
UACGCAGGGACCAAGCGUUGUUCGGAUUUACUGGGCGUAAAGGGCGCGUAGGCGGCUUGACAAGUCACUUGUGAAAUCUCCGGGCUUAACUCGGAACGGCCAAGUGAAACUGUCAUGCUAGAGUGCAGAAGGGGCAAUCGGAAUUCUUGGUGUAGCGGUGAAAUGCGUAGAUAUCAAGAGGAACACCUGAGGUGAAGACGGGUUGCUGGGCUGACACUGACGCUGAGGCGCGAAAGCCAGGGGAGCAAACGGG